UUACUCCUCAGCCCUUUCUUCUCUUGAAGAUAUCCCAUAAGGCAGCAGAAUUUUCCUUCUCCUUCUAGAUAGGCUACCUUCCCAAGUUGACAAGCCCCAGCUGCCCAUCACUUCCUUCGACUAUUUGGGUCUGAGGUAUUACAAAUAUCUGAAAAUGCAAAUGGAUUUCCAACUUUGCAGAUGGAGGAUGCAGCUUUCUGCUCAGACAUGUGAAAUCAAUUUCCAAGAACAAGCUGAUUUUUGGAAGAAGAAGAAAUUUCUGCAAAUGUGAUGCAAAAGUUGGCUGUGCAUGAUGCCGGAAUGUCACUCUGCCCAUGUCAUCAAGAAACCUCCUAC
Podarcis muralis (Common wall lizard) is the source of this 336-nucleotide long non-coding RNA. RefSeq lists it as uncharacterized. The record is from RefSeq and is a predicted model, not a curated record. NCBI's taxonomy places the organism in Eukaryota, Metazoa, Chordata, Lepidosauria, Squamata, Lacertidae.